Molecule: ribosomal RNA, 256 nt
Filed under: uncultured bacterium
Lineage: Bacteria
Description: partial 16S ribosomal RNA
Rfam family: Bacterial small subunit ribosomal RNA
Source: RNAcentral
AACGGGUGAGUAACGCGUGAGGAACCUGCCUCAAAGAGGGGGACAACAGUUGGAAACGACUGCUAAUACCGCAUAAGCCCACGGCUCGGCAUCGAGCAGAGGGAAAAGGAGUGAUCCGCUUUGAGAUGGCCUCGCGUCCGAUUAGCUGGUUGGUGAGGUAACGGCCCACCAAGGCGACGAUCGGUAGCCGGACUGAGAGGUUGAACGGCCACAUCGGGACUGAGACACGGCCCAGACUCCUACGGGAGGCAGCAUG